GGGAUUGUGGCUCAGUGGUAGAGUGCUUGCCUUGCACGCGUGAAGCUCUGGGUUCAAUCCUA
RNAcentral lists this transfer RNA (62 nucleotides) under Ictidomys tridecemlineatus (thirteen-lined ground squirrel). RNAcentral describes it as "Spermophilus tridecemlineatus (thirteen-lined ground squirrel) tRNA". It matches the Rfam family "tRNA", at positions 1 to 62 of the family's 71-position model. Rfam says of the family: Transfer RNA (tRNA) molecules are approximately 80 nucleotides in length. Their secondary structure includes four short double-helical elements and three loops (D, anti-codon, and T loops). Further hydrogen bonds mediate the characteristic L-shaped molecular structure. tRNAs have two regions of fundamental functional importance: the anti-codon, which is responsible for specific mRNA codon recognition, and the 3' end, to which the tRNAs corresponding amino acid is attached (by aminoacyl-tRNA synthetases). tRNAs cope with the degeneracy of the genetic code in two manners: having more than one tRNA (with a specific anti-codon) for a particular amino acid; and 'wobble' base-pairing, i.e. permitting non-standard base-pairing at the 3rd anti-codon position. The record is from Rfam by way of RNAcentral. Lineage: Eukaryota; Metazoa; Chordata; Mammalia; Rodentia; Sciuridae.